AUGCACGCUGGCGGCGUGCCUAAUCCAUGCAAGUCGAGCGAACAGACGAGGAGCUUGCUCCUCUGACGUUAGCGGCGGACGGGUGAGUAACACGUGGAUAACCUACCUAUAAGACUGGGAUAACUUCGGGAAACCGGAGCUAAUACCGGAUAAUAUAUUGAACCGCAUGGUUCAAUAGUGAAAGACGGUUUUGCUGUCACUUAUAGAUGGAUCCGCGCCGCAUUAGCUAGUUGGUAAGGUAACGGCUUACCAAGGCAACGAUGCGUAGCCGACCUGAGAGGGUGAUCGGCCACACUGGAACUGAGACACGGUCCAGACUCCUACGGGAGGCAGCAGUAGGGAAUCUUCCGCAAUGGGCGAAAGCUUGACGGAGCAACGCCGCGUGAGUGAUGAAGGUCUUCGGAUCGUAAAACUCUGUUAUUAGAGAAGAACAAAUGUGUAAGUAACUAUGCACGUCUUGACGGUACCUAAUCAGAAAGCCACGGCUAACUACGUG
Molecule: ribosomal RNA, 496 nt
Filed under: uncultured bacterium
Lineage: Bacteria
Description: partial 16S ribosomal RNA
Rfam family: Bacterial small subunit ribosomal RNA
Source: RNAcentral